GAUGAACGCUGGCGGCGUGCCUAAUACAUGCAAGUCGAGCGAACGGACGAGAAGCUUGCUUCUCUGAUGUUAGCGGCGGACGGGUGAGUAACACGUGGAUAACCUACCUAUAAGACUGGGAUAACUUCGGGAAACCGGAGCUAAUACCGGAUAAUAUUUUGAACCGCAUGGUUCAAAAGUGAAAGACGGUCUUGCUGUCACUUAUAGAUGGAUCCGCGCUGCAUUAGCUAGUUGGUAAGGUAACGGCUUACCAAGGCAACGAUGCAUAGCCGACCUGAGAGGGUGGUCGGCCACACUGGAACGGGGACACGGUCCAGACUCCUACGGGAGGCAGCAGUAGGGAAUCUUCCGCAAAGGGCGAAAGCCUGACGGAGCAACGCCGCGUGAGUGAUGAAGGUCUUCGGAUCGUAAAACUCUGUUAUUAGGGAAGAACAUAUGUGUAAGUAACUGUGCACAUCUUGACGGUACCUAAUCAGAAAGCCACGGCUAACUACGUG
RNAcentral lists this ribosomal RNA (497 nucleotides) under uncultured bacterium. RNAcentral describes it as "partial 16S ribosomal RNA". It matches the Rfam family "Bacterial small subunit ribosomal RNA", at positions 28 to 507 of the family's 1533-position model. The record is from RNAcentral.